GCACCCGUAGCUCAGCUGGAUAGAGCGCUGCCCUCCGAAGGCAGAGGCCACAGGUUCGAAUCCUGUCGGGUGCACCA
Molecule: transfer RNA, 77 nt
Filed under: Zymomonas mobilis
Lineage: Bacteria; Pseudomonadati; Pseudomonadota; Alphaproteobacteria; Sphingomonadales; Zymomonadaceae
Also listed under: 142 other names
Description: tRNA-Arg
Rfam family: tRNA
About the family: Transfer RNA (tRNA) molecules are approximately 80 nucleotides in length. Their secondary structure includes four short double-helical elements and three loops (D, anti-codon, and T loops).
Source: RNAcentral